GGCGCACGGGUGAGUAACGCGUGGGAACCUGCCUUUUAGUACGGGACAACGUUUGGAAACGAUCGCUAAUACCGUAUACGCCCUCCGGGGGAAAGGUCAGCCGCUGAAAGAGGGGCCCGCGUCUGAUUAGCUUGUUGGUAAGGUAACGGCUUACCAAGGCAACGAUCAGUAGCUGGUCUGAGAGGAUGAUCAGCCACACUGGGACUGAGACACGGCCCAGACUCCUACGGGAGGCAGCAGUGGGGAAUAUUGGACAAUGGAGGCAACUCUGAUCCAGCAAUGCCGCGUGUGUGAUGAAGGCCCUAGGGUUGUAAAGCACUUUCAACGGUGAAGAUGAUAACGGUAGCCGUAGAAGAAGCCCCGGCUAACUUCGUGCCAGCAGCCGCGGUAAUACGAAGGGGGCGAGCGUUAUUCGGAAUUAUUGGGCGUAAAGGGCUCGCAGGCUGCUUGAACAGUUAGACGUGAAAUCCCCGGGCUUAACCUGGGAACUGCGUUUAAUACUAGCAAGCUAGAGAAAUAGAGAGGAGAGUGGAACUCCCAGUGUAGAGGUGAAAUUCGUAGAUAUUAGAAAGAAUACCGAUUGCGAAGGCAGCUUUCUGGAUCAUUACUGACACUGAGGAACGAAAGCAUGGGUAGCGAAGAGGAUUAGAUACCCUCGUAGUCCAUGCCGUAAACGAUGUGUGUUAGACGUUGGAAAUUUAUUUUCAGUGUCGCAGCGAAGGCGAUAAACACAC
RNAcentral lists this ribosomal RNA (734 nucleotides) under uncultured marine bacterium. RNAcentral's name for it is "bacterial SSU rRNA". It matches the Rfam family "Bacterial small subunit ribosomal RNA", at positions 97 to 869 of the family's 1533-position model. The record is from RNAcentral.